GACGAACGCUGGCGGCGUGCUUAACACAUGCAAGUCGAACGAAGAGCGACGGAAGCUUGCUUCUAUCAAUCUUAGUGGCGAACGGGUGAGUAACGCGUAAUCAACCUGCCCUUCAGAGGAGGACAACAGUUGGAAACGACUGCUAAUACCGCAUACGAUCUAAUCUCGGCAUCGAGGAUGGAUGAAAGGUGGCCUCUACAUGUAAGCUAUCACUGAAGGAGGGGAUUGCGUCUGAUUAGCUAGUUGGAGGGGUAACGGCCCACCAAGGCGAUGAUCAGUAGCCGGUCUGAGAGGAUGAACGGCCACAUUGGGACUGAGACACGGCCCAGACUCCUACGGGAGGCAGCAGUGGGGAAUCUUCCGCAAUGGACGAAAGUCUGACGGAGCAACGCCGCGUGAGUGAUGACGGCCUUCGGGUUGUAAAGCUCUGUUAAUCGGGACGAAAGGCCUUCUUGCGAAUAGUGAGAAGGAUUGACGGUACCGGAAGAGAAAGCCACGGCUAACUACGUG
RNAcentral lists this ribosomal RNA (510 nucleotides) under uncultured bacterium. RNAcentral's name for it is "partial 16S ribosomal RNA". It matches the Rfam family "Bacterial small subunit ribosomal RNA", at positions 28 to 507 of the family's 1533-position model. The record is from RNAcentral.